This 253-nucleotide ribosomal RNA is filed under the name uncultured bacterium. RNAcentral's name for it is "partial 16S ribosomal RNA". It matches the Rfam family "Bacterial small subunit ribosomal RNA", at positions 524 to 776 of the family's 1533-position model. The record is from RNAcentral.
UACGUAGGGGGCAAGCGUUGUCCGGAUUCAUUGGGCGUAAAGGGCGCGUAGGCGGCCUUCUAAGUCGAACGUGAAAUCCCUGGGCUCAACCCAGGAACUGCGUCCGAUACUGGAAGGCUUGAAUCCGGGAGAGGGAUGCGGAAUUCCAGGUGUAGCGGUGAAAUGCGUAGAUAUCUGGAGGAACACCGGUGGCGAAGGUGGCAUCCUGGACCGGUAUUGACGCUGAGGCGCGAAAGCCAGGGGAGCAAACGGG